RNAcentral lists this non-coding RNA (449 nucleotides) under Pan troglodytes (chimpanzee). The record is from RNAcentral. Lineage: Eukaryota; Metazoa; Chordata; Mammalia; Primates; Hominidae.
CAAAAUGUUUCUCUUUCUUCUCCCUCGCUCUCCAUCUCUCUUUCUGCACACAUUCACAUGGAAGGAAUUGGGAUCCGAUGUCCACAAGCAGUGGACACCUUUUCAGUGGGGUGUUAUUUGGCCCGCAAGAACACUGGAUGUCAAGAGACAGAAUAUAGAAAGCCCAGAAAGACCAGGCCAUGGUUAGAAGCAUAGAAUUGUCAGCACCAACCACCAUCCUCCAGGAAGGGUACAGGGGCUGGAGACUGAGUUAAUACCAAUCAUGCCUAAGUAAUGAAGCCUCCAUAAAAGUUCCUGAGAGCUUCCACAUGCUGAACACGUGCGGUGGGCCUGGAGGGCGGCACACCCAGUGAAUCUUCCCACGUGCCUCGCCUUGUGAAUCUCCUCAUCUGGCUGUCCAUCUGUAUCCUUGGAAACAUCCUUCCUCAUGAACCAAUGAACAUAACGAA